CUGACACAGGGAGGUAGUGACAAUAAAUAACAAUGCCGGGCCCAUCUGGGUCUGGCAAUUGGAAUGAGAACAAUUUAAAUCCCUUAUCGAGGAUCAAUUGGAGGGCAAGUCUGGUGCCAGCAGCCGCGGUAAUUCCAGCUCCAAUAGCGUAUAUUAAAGUUGUUGCAGUUAAAAAGCUCGUAGUUGGAUUUCUAGCGGAUGCAACCGGUCUGCUCCGCGAGGAGUGGGACUAGCGUUGUCGUCUGUUAUCCUUGAGUUGAUCGUGUCUGGCAUUUGGUUGUCGGAUACGCUACACUCAUCGUUUACUGUGAAAAAUUAGAGUGUUCAAAGCAAGCUUAGGCUCUGAAUAUAUUAGCAUGGAAUAAUAAGAUAAGACCUUGGUGGUUUAUUUUGUUGGUUUGCACGCCGAGGUAAUGAUUAAUAGGGAUAGUUGGGGGUAUUCGUAUUCAAUUGUCAGAGGUGAAAUUCUUGGAUUUAUGGA
Molecule: ribosomal RNA, 481 nt
Filed under: uncultured stramenopile
Lineage: Eukaryota
Description: SSU rRNA
Rfam family: Eukaryotic small subunit ribosomal RNA
Source: RNAcentral